CGGGACGUAGUUCAGCCUGGCUAGAACGCCACGUUCGGGACGUGGAGGUCGCUGGUUCAAAUCCAGUCGUCCCGACCA
RNAcentral lists this transfer RNA (78 nucleotides) under Verrucomicrobia bacterium ADurb.Bin474. RNAcentral's name for it is "tRNA-Pro". It matches the Rfam family "tRNA". From Rfam's summary of the family: Transfer RNA (tRNA) molecules are approximately 80 nucleotides in length. Their secondary structure includes four short double-helical elements and three loops (D, anti-codon, and T loops). The record is from RNAcentral. RNAcentral also lists the same sequence under 1 other name. Lineage: Bacteria; Pseudomonadati; Verrucomicrobiota.